Molecule: long non-coding RNA, 1940 nt
Organism: Carya illinoinensis
Lineage: Eukaryota; Viridiplantae; Streptophyta; Magnoliopsida; Fagales; Juglandaceae
Exons: 3
Source: RefSeq, a predicted model, not a curated record
UGUACAUCAAUGGUCCUGGUGGAGACGCGAGUUCCUUAUCAACAUACCUUCUGCAAUCAAAUCAUGCUUCUUUCUCUGUAUUCUUGUUGCUUGUGAGAUAUUUUCCUUUGCUAAAAACUUGCUCGCUGCAGCUUACUCCUAGCAUGGCAAUUUAUGACGACAUGCAGAGCUUAAAGAGUCCUGUCGGCACCCAUUGUGUGGGCUAUGCCUACAAUCUAGUAGCCUUUCUUCUCGCUGCUGGAGAAAAGGUAAUAUCUCUCUCUUUUAGAAUCUGAAUUAAGUGUUGACAGUAUAACAAAUCUCCCUCUCAGGGAUCCAAUGGGCCUAAAAACUGCUGCUCGAUGCUAUAUAUGCCACUAGUGUGGGGGCAUUUUGACUUAAUUUUCACCUAUGAGAUUAAUGAUGAACAAUGGUGGGUAGUCUUUUCUAUUGUGAAACAUGCAAUAAUUACUGAUAAAUCGUACAGAGUAAUCAGGUAAAGAAAAAAAUAAAAAUUGAUAUAGAGAUUUAACGUGAUUUGGUGAUGUGUCUACAUUUAUAGAAAGUAAACAAUUCGAAGUUCACUAUCAAUCAAUUAUAGUUCACUAUCAGUCUACCUACUUUCAGUGUAUGAGUCAUAUACUUCAACACUUUCCCUUUUUCUUCUCUAUUUUAGUAAUAAUAUUGGUUAUUGUGAAAUGCGGAGGGAUGAGACUUUACCAUUGUUCAUAGAACAUAUUUAUAUUUUGUGUAUUAUGUUUGUGCAACGGCGUGAAAGAUGAUUCCUUUGUGUAUUAUGUGAUGUAUCUGGAUGGAAAGGAAUGAGAGGUGUUUUAAUGAUAGAGAAUGUUUUGUAGAUAAUCUCUGGAAAUUUUUUAUGUUUUUCCUGUUUUCUUGGUUUUCAGCCAUUGUUCUUAAUGGUGGGGUAGUCCAUGAGUUUUUAUUUUUGUUUAGCACGUGAAUGUUCUUAGGUGUUUCUUUUGUAUACUUCCUAUAUAUAUGAGCUAUGACUAUUUCAUUCGUUGAAUAAACUUUUUACUUGUAAAAAAAAAAUUUAUAAGUAAAAAUUUUAUUUUGUGUAAUAUGCUAUGAGGCUUAAAACGUGCAUGGAUAGAUAUGGUGGAGAAUGAGAUGUUAACAGGGAGUUAGUCACCUUGAGAGUUCGAUUCAGAUUGAUUAGAAUGGCAAAAAGGAAUACAUGUGGAUAAAUUAUGGGAAUUUGUACAUUGAUCCCAAAGGUUGAGAUUAAGGCAUAUAUAGUUGAGUUGAACCUAAUAUAUAUGCUCUUUAUAUAGAUUGCAUUCUCCUUUUAUAACCUUAUUUCUUGAAAGCCAAAGAUAAUUCUAUGUUUUCUUCCUUGUAUCUAUCUCUAGUUCCUAAUUAGGUGCAUUCUCUUGUGUACUACUUGUGUUCUUGGGCUAUGCGUAUUUUUGUAUUAAUAAAAUUUCUUUUAGUUAUUAAAAAAAAAAAAUGAAUGAUUUCAUUUUUUAAGGGUAACCGCUUUGCAAUGCCUGUGUCAAGAAUUGCACUACAAUCUCCUGCGUGGUCAGGUGUGACGGCAUGCCAACUUUUCAUGCUGAUGACAUUCGUAAUGAAGCAAAUGAGCUUCUGAGCUUCUAGCUCAGAAUCCAUGAUUACAUUUUUAAUGAGUUGGCUACGAAAACGGGCCAGCCUGUGGAGAUUAACAAAGAUUAACAAAGACUUGAGCAGGAUGAAACGCUUUAAUGCUCAGGAGGCUCUUGAAUAUGGAUUAAUUGAACAGAUUGUCAGACAGCCUCGUAUCAAGGCAGAUGCGCUUCCCAAGGAUGCAGGAACGGUGCUUGGUUAGUGUAUCAUGUGCGUUGCUUGAGAUAAUUUCUGUUUGACAUUUCGUAGUGUUUCCCGACUUUAUUUACAGACAGGAUAGAAAUAUUCACUUUGUAGUUAGAAAUAGUCUCAUUAUAUAUAUAUAUAUAUAUAUA